UCAAAUGAACUGCAAAACCUGGAAACUCUCAAGAACAAUAGAAGAGGGUUGCAGCUUAAGUGGCCAGCUUGCUAGCCAGACCAUCCAUGGGAAAGCAGUGGACUUCUGCAUCCAAGAUUUAUAAGCUGUGAUCUUUGGCAGAUCCUAUAUAGGUGAUGAAGAUACGAAGAUGUCAAGACAUGACUUUUGCUUUCAAACACAAGAGGUGGAGACAGACUUGUUGGCAGAUUUCUGUUGUAAUUUGCUAUGUGAGACCCUCUGGAGGGAUUGUGCGGAGGCCUAUGGAUUCAUAAAAAAAACAGAAUCGGAUCACAGAUGGACUGAGGACCUGUCUUUGAGAAGUACUGGACCCAAGAAGCAUGGUAAGUUUGACUUUUAUUACUAGCUGCCUUGGCCCACUAGUGAACAACUUCUAGACUUAGCCUUUUAAGUUUCUUC
Molecule: long non-coding RNA, 438 nt
Organism: Oryctolagus cuniculus (rabbit)
Lineage: Eukaryota; Metazoa; Chordata; Mammalia; Lagomorpha; Leporidae
Source: RefSeq, a predicted model, not a curated record